UUCAGUACGUUUGCUUACUGAGUCAAGCAUAGCGGACACAACAACUACAACUACAUUACAGUGGUAAAUAGCACUGCGUCUGAUCUCAUAACGUUCGUAUUCAGGUGUGCCACAUGUAACCUUACAUGAUUAAUGGAUACGUAAACAUCAAGAAUCGUCGAAAAUAGUUUUAGUAUUUAUUCGUUGUUAAUACCCCUCACAAAUGUCUGUGGUAGUUACGUGUUUGUGGCUGUUACUUGUUACUUAUAUGGCAGUGGGAGAAUACGUCGGCACAGAUCCAACAUCCGGGAAGGAAUGGAGACAGCGCGUGAAAAGAUCAACAGCUGAUGUAAAAGCUAAAGGUAACGGCAACAAAGGGAAAGUUAUAAUACUAAUAUCGGACAUGCUUUGCUCCAGUUGUUUGCGGCUACGUUACAUAAAGGCAAAAAGAAAAUGCUGUCAGCGAUAUUGUUCCAGAUCACGAGAACAAUGCAUUCGGCCCAACAGAUUCAGACCGGGUUAAAUGGCUGUCAUCCGCUCUGAUCAUCUGAUAUUAACAUCUCAAUAAUAUUUUCAUUUGAAGCUUUAUCAAAAUAUUUUGCAAUGAACACGUUUGUGUAACUAAUCAUAAUUUCAGAAAUGGAUUUUAAAUUCAUGUAUGUUCAUAAUAAUACUAUUGUAGAGUAUAGAGAAGCAUUAUAUAUUGGAAGGGGAGUGGAUGGUUAUACAAUUAUAUCAUGUCCCAUGUCAUUCAGAUACGUGCAAAGUGAAUGUGAUUUAUACAUCCUGGAAUAGUUGAUGUGGUUUGUUGUUAUUUAUGUAUAUGUAUUGACCUAUACAAGUAAAAAUUGCAUAAUUUAUCUUACUUAGGAAUUCACACACACAUGCUUUUUCAUCAUACCCACACUUUACGCUGAAAAGGUUACAGAUGACAGGAAUUAAGAAUGAUGAAUGGCCUAAUGUUGUUAUCGUCCGCUGUAAUUUGUCAUAGAACAUUCAUGAGUAAAACAUUCAAUUAAAUGAAGACAUUUAUAUUCAAUGGCGUCAACAUUCUGGUUCAAUCUUUAGGUGUCGCCUGCACUGAUUAGUCGACUUUCACUUGCUCGUAACUGGCUUUCGUAUACUCCUAACUGACGUUCGCUUGCUUAUUGACUUUUGUUUGUUCAUAACUGAAUUUCAUUAUUUAGCUCACAUGGUGCGGCGCCCGUCAGUUUUCCCCUUUAAACAGCUUCUUAAUAACCGUGCGACACAUAUAGCUGAUAUUGGUCAUGUGGCAUGCUUGGAUAAAGGGCUACCAAGCUUGUUUAAAUAAAUGACCUUGACUUACAUUCAUGUUCACAGGUGUCAAAUAGGCUAAAAUCUUUCAAAAGAAAUUAAUGACCUUUAUCUACAUUCAAUGUCAAAGGUGGAAAUAGGCUAAAAUCUUUCAAUGGCUUCUUCUAAAUUACCAAGAUACCAAUGGACUUGAUAUUCGGUGUAAUGCAUAUCGGAAUAAAGGGCUACCCAGUGUGUUCAAAUGAAUUGACUUACAUUCAAGGUCACAGGGGUUAAAUAGGUUUAAAUAUUUAAACAACUCCUUCUCUAUCAGUAAGAGGCCAAGAGACCCGAUAUUCGGCCAGAGUAUGCCCGGGCAAAGCGCUACCAAGUUUGUUCAAAUGAAUGACCUGACCUACAUUAAAGGUCACAGUGGUCAAAUAGGCUAAAAUCUUUACACGACAUCUUCUCACUAACAAAGAGGACCAGGAAUUUGAUAUUGAGUCUGUGGCAUGCUCGGGUAAAGGGCUACAACAUUACAUGGGCCAAUUAUGCUAAAGUCUUUAAGAGACUUCAUGUCAAUAACUGUGAGGCCCAGAGACUUAAUGUUGGGAUUUAAGUCUGCUUUUGUGAAGGGCUACCAAGUUUGCUUAACUGAAUGUCCCUGACCUACAUUCAAGGUCACAGGGGUCAACUAAAAUAAAAUAUUUAAACAAUGAUUUUUCGAUAGUCAAUGGACUCAGAUACCUAAUAUUAUGCCAAGCUGGAAUAUAGUAGUAAAAAUGGUUUGAUAUGAAUAGACCUAACCUACUCUGAUAUUUGAAUAAAAUGUUAUCAUUAGCAAGUUUCGUUUGGUCUUAAAGAUCAUUAGUAACUCAUUUCGUUUGCAUAUGAUACUUUCGAUUUCAAACCCAGUACGAACAUCAAUAUCAUUUUUAUUUCUGAUCUCCAUCGAUAUUCUAUACACGAACAGAUACUUGUACACAGACGCGGACAUGUACACGUACGCACAGGGGGUAGGCGCGGACCUAUGUCACACCCGUCCCACGGCUACAUAUCCUUGACAAGGCAAUGAACUCGCCGGAACGUGAAAAACGACCUAUUUUCUGUCAGAGUUCAUUUUUUCUACUAAAUACCAUCAGAUUUUAAUCAUGCAUGGCUCGUUUCAAUGAUGAUACAUUUAUCUAUCUGUCGAUACCAAAUACUUGGUGCUGAAAGACCACAGUUGUGUAUAAGGAUACCUAGAAUGUCAAGUUUGGCCUAAAAAAUGCUAGGUAGACAUUUACUGGUCCGUACGGUUAUCUGCCUCCGGUCUAAUCGACACAUCUUUAUUCUCAUGGACAGUUGUAAAAACAGCUUUAUAGAUCCGUCACAAAUAUAAAAACCUGCUAUCCUACCUUAAAGUGUGACGUUCACAGUUAUUGUCAUGCCAUUAAUCCGAGGUUAAAAUCGCGAUUCACAGGAGAUGGCAUUUUUUUUGUAUUCUACUUAGAAGUUAUUGACCAAUCAGCGAGGGCGUAUCAUAUAGCAUUCAGAUAAACGGACAUAGAUACGAAAAUGUACAUAUACCCGGACAUGUAUACGUACGCGGUCAUAUACAUGUAAAAGGACACAAAUACGGGCAAGACCAGACACGUACAUGAACACGUGCAUGAACACAGACAAGGACACGUACGCGAACAGACACGGACAUGCUUUUAUACGUGGCACAAAAACUGACAUCCACACAUGCGCAGACACAGACAAGGAUGUGUACAGGUACACGGACACAGUAGUCCGGCAGAAAGGUGCAUGGAUCAGUAGAUUUGUUGGUUUUGUAGUAAAAGAAUGAAACGUUGUAUAUAAGUAGGGCAUCAUAAUCUGAAUAAAUUUAGAUAUGGGGCCAAGCAUUUUUUCAAGAUGGCCGUCAAGUCCAAGAUGGCUGUCAGAUUUCUGAAUACUAUAUAAACACAAAUUAUAAAGUUUAUUUCGUUGUCAAAAAUCAUGCUGACGAGAUGGCGAUCAAAUCCAAAUGGCCACCAAAUUGAAGAAAGCUGUCAUAUACAUGCCCAAUUUCGAAUUCUAUCAAAGGUAUACAGAUUUUUCUGUUAAGAGUAAUUAAAAGACAAUUUAUAAUCAAGCUAGCUGUUAUAUAUUUACCAUUGAGUAAAGGGAGAAAACCCUUUAAGAAAUGUAAGAUGUAUGCAUAUGAUUUACUCAAGGGCACUUACGACCUUAUAUGUAAAUAGACUUCUCUGGAAUAUUCUAGAAUAGAGAUGUGUCAUAAUAUUUUGCUUCCAAGUAUCUAUUGACAAGUGGUUGUUUGCAAGAAGUGUGUUAAAGAUUUCUAGAAAAGAGAUGGUUUGAAAAUGUAUUUGAAAGAUUUGGCAAUAAAGUAUAAAUGCCAGGAGCGACACAUUGCUGGUCUACAACUGUUAAGGAGAGCUGUGUGAAUUCUGUUGGAUUAUUAAUUGCAUGGAACAGUGAACUGUUGGAUUAAAAAACAUUCUUUAUUCUGGAGCCACGGACUGGAAAGGAUUACUCAAGGACAGCUGUUAUAAGCUAAGUCAUUAACAGUGUUGACUUAAUAACCACCUUGUACACCACUUAAUUGUAAUUGCGAAUUAUCUCUGUAACUUGAUUAGUUUUGUAUAUAUCAUUAAAAAUUUGAAGUUA
Long non-coding RNA from Pecten maximus, 3888 nucleotides. RefSeq lists it as uncharacterized. The transcript has 2 exons. The record is from RefSeq and is a predicted model, not a curated record. NCBI's taxonomy places the organism in Eukaryota, Metazoa, Mollusca, Bivalvia, Pectinida, Pectinidae.